UCAUGCCUACAGAUGUAUUGACUAACUUAUGCUUUUGAAAAUUAUUUUAUGGUUUGCCUAAAUUGAAAUAUACCUUUGCCUAUGUAAUGCAUAACCAAGAAAUACACAAGUUUAUGCUUCAAAUUUUGAUUUAAAAUAACUUGUAAUAAACUAUGAAUUCUUGAGCAUAAUGAAAAUGUUGUUUGCAUGAUAUACAUCUAUAUGAUGCAUUAGAUUAUUUCUUCAUUCUGCUCUUUCAUGUAAAUUACUUGAGACUAACAAAAAGAGAGAGAUAAAGAAAAGAAAAUGAACAUUAUUCAAGAAAAGUAAAAGCUAAGUAAAAGCAAAUACUCCAAUCUUAAAGAAAAGCAAAAUAAGCAUAAUAUAUUCGGCACAUUUGUGAGACUUGUGUGAGCAUUCUUUUGGAAGGAAUAAAAUCCGUAAUUAAUUACAUUUAAACAGG
RNAcentral lists this long non-coding RNA (442 nucleotides) under Phoenix dactylifera (date palm). Its description in RNAcentral is "long non-coding RNA (PDAC_LNC016744)". Lineage: Eukaryota; Viridiplantae; Streptophyta; Magnoliopsida; Arecales; Arecaceae. The record is from RNAcentral.